RNAcentral lists this ribosomal RNA (492 nucleotides) under uncultured bacterium. Its description in RNAcentral is "partial 16S ribosomal RNA". It matches the Rfam family "Bacterial small subunit ribosomal RNA", at positions 30 to 507 of the family's 1533-position model. The record is from RNAcentral.
AUUGAACGCUGGCGGCAUGCUUUACACAUGCAAGUCGAACGGUAACAGGCCUUCGGGUGCUGACGAGUGGCGAACGGGUGAGUAAUGCAUCGGAACGUACCCAGAGGUGGGGGAUAACGCAGCGAAAGCUGUGCUAAUACCGCAUGUGAUCUGAGGAUGAAAGUGGGGGACCGAGCAGCAAUGUUUGGCCUCGCGCUUUUGGUGCGGCCGAUGUCGGAUUAGCUAGUUGGUGGGGUAAAGGCCUACCAAGGCGACGAUCCGUAGCUGGUCUGAGAGGACGACCAGCCACACUGGGACUGAGACACGGCCCAGACUCCUACGGGAGGCAGCAGUGGGGAAUUUUGGACAAUGGGCGCAAGCCUGAUCCAGCAAUGCCGCGUGCGGGAAGAAGGCCUUCGGGUUGUAAACCGCUUUUGGCAGGAACGAAACGGUGUCCGCUAAUACCGGGCGCUAAUGACGGUACCUGCAGAAUAAGCACCGGCUAACUACGUG